This is a long non-coding RNA of Manis pentadactyla (Chinese pangolin), 1045 nucleotides long. RefSeq lists it as uncharacterized. NCBI's taxonomy places the organism in Eukaryota, Metazoa, Chordata, Mammalia, Pholidota, Manidae. The transcript has 3 exons. The record is from RefSeq and is a predicted model, not a curated record.
GUUAGAGCCCAGGAGCCAAAGAACCUGGACAAAUAAAGUCCAAUUAGUUCUUCAAAGUGCUGAAGUAGCCGUCCUCCUGUUAUUAUUUUUACUUUGAGGACACCUAGUGGCAGUUUCCUGGUGGUGUUCUUCAAAGGCAAACAGAAAGCAGCUUGAGGAUAGAAUAGCAGGGGCGGAGCCUCUUCUACUUAACACCUUCACUCUGCUAUCAGGACUCGCCCUCGGCCUGAAGACACAACUGCUGCGUCCCUGGGGGACACACAGGCCCUUGCCAGAUUCUGCAGCCAAAUCCCCGCUCCCACCUCUCAGCCACCAAACAAAGUUCCCUUGGCCUGUUUCACACGUGCUUUUUAAUGAGCUCAUUGUAGAAGGGAGGUGAGGGUACUUAGUUCAUAAGGUGGCUGUGAGGAUUACGUCAAACUCAAGACAACUCGCCUAGUGCCUAGUAUCCGGGAGAUAUUGAACAGCUGGUAAGACCUUUCCUGACCGCUCACUUCAGCAACCCUGUACGUCGGACAUGGCCCUUGCUGUAGCUGUUUUCCAGACGGAAGUGUUCACGGCUCCACAGAGCUCUGCCAAUGCCAUUCAGACCAAUCCCCAUCUGAGUCCCAGGAGCUAAACGCAUCUCGCAGCUGUGGUUCUCACUGGCUGAUCCGCCCAGGAUUUGUCUUACAACCCUGUUCUAUUAAAUCAAGUUUCCUGGUGGGAAGAAGAUAAGACAUGUACUAGGAGAUGUAAGACACGUCAGAAAACAAGGCAGAGAGAUGUCAGAGGUGCGUUGGGUGUAUUGGCACCUUUCAACCUUACCAUCAUCGCCCGUGAGGGGCUUAUUACCCCAGUUUCACAAAUAUGACAACGACGGCACAGAGAAAGCAGCAGAAUCAAGAUGAAAUCAGGCCAUUGUGCCUCUUCAGGGGGCACCCUACUCUACUCAGCUCCUCAGAGGUCCUCCCAUCUGCACUCAGGAGCUAUCACCAGGCUGCUAAUUCAGUAAGGCAUGCCUUUUCCCUUGGUUCUUUACUUGGAUAACCCCUGUUAUUAUUAG